Long non-coding RNA from Microtus oregoni (creeping vole), 345 nucleotides. RefSeq lists it as uncharacterized. The transcript has 3 exons. The record is from RefSeq and is a predicted model, not a curated record. NCBI's taxonomy places the organism in Eukaryota, Metazoa, Chordata, Mammalia, Rodentia, Cricetidae.
GGCACACACAGGCAGAUGAAUCUGAGUUCAAGGCCAGCCUGUUCUACACAGUGAGUUCUAAGACAACCAGGGCCACACAGAGAAAUCCUGUCUCAGCAACCCUCCCCUCCAUAGAAACAAAACAAAACAACCAGGCUAAAAGAAGUGAUACUCAGAUAAGAAGAUCUCUCUACAUUAUGCUCUGCAUUGAAUUUUGGAGAAAUUUUCACGGUCGACUGUGAUGAACACUGCACUGUCACCAUACUCAGGAAUCUCCAACAUUGAUCAGAGACCAAGAAUCAUAAUUUUCUGGCUCAGAAUUCACUGAAUAGAUAAACCGGAUGAAUGAGCUGGAGGCUACAGCUG